Non-coding RNA from Paramuricea clavata, 545 nucleotides. The record is from the annotation of a GenBank genome assembly. NCBI's taxonomy places the organism in Eukaryota, Metazoa, Cnidaria, Anthozoa, Malacalcyonacea, Plexauridae.
UUCUGAUAUUGUUUGUAUUUGUAGUUCAAGAUGUCAGACACAGACAGACAACUUCCCACACGAAAUAAAUUUGAUUAAUUGCUCGCGACUUUGAAAUUGAUACUUUUUUAAAUAAAAUUUGAUGCAUCCAAAACCUGUUCUGAUAAGAUUUGACAUAAACCUCGAAAAUCGAAAUAAACAACACAGUAUACGCGAUCGACUGUCAGCAUUUCAUUCAGAUUCAGACUGUAGCUCACACAACAAUAUCAAAUUUCUCCCUAAAUAUUCGUUUCUUUCUAUGCUAGCCACAAUAAUAAUUUAGGCUUACAUUGCCUCUGCAGGCAGUUGUAGUAGUUUGAUAUUCCAAUCCUUUGUUUCCAAAAAAUAGUCGAUUUUGUGAUCAAAAUGUACAUUUUGUAAUACAAAUCCCUAUUGCACUGACUGGCUUUACUGGCUGCGAGCUUGAGAGAUCCAGUGAGCUCCAUAUAUAUCUGGAGUAGGAACUUGGUUGCUCAAAGUGAAGCCAGUUUCGUGUUAACCGUGCAUACAAAAACAAUAGAAAGGGA